ACUUUUCUGUCAUUUUUUAUCUUCUCUCCACUCAUCACCUCUCUCCAUCCAUGACUCCUCACCUCACCACGACCGCCAAUUUCUUCCCCUCAUGAUGUCACCCACUCAAAAACCUCCCACUCUUCUCCUGCAACAGCAUUAGCAACCCAACAAAUCAACCCUAACACAACCUCCAUGCGCUCUCCUCCUAAUGCUCACCGCAACAGCGGCGACCAUCCCUUCCACUCCACCAUGUCGCUCCGAAAAUUAAGGCGGUUCAACUAGAACGAACAUAUUUGUAGUGGGAGCGAAUGCGAUAAUGGUGAUACAUUCUCUUCGCCGAGGUCGUCCACCUAUGGUUCGAUUGGCCAUGACCAGAGCUAUCGUUAAUGGAGAACGUACUGAUGCAUUUCAACCAGGUUGUCGUAUAAGACAAGUUUCAGCCAUUCGGCGCACUUAGAACAUUUUUGGUGAUAAUUCGACUUUUUAGAGAAUUUUUUAUGCAAGGCCAAUUGUGUCUGAAUUUCAUAAUUUCCCAUGAAGCCAAACAUUCUAGUUUUGCAAAUCAAUCCUGCAAAAGUUGUUUUCCCGUCAGAACUGCACAGCUGUGGGAGAAUGAUGAUUUGAAGGCUUUCCCGAUUUUUCCUAGUGGCGUGCGAUAUAUACUUGGAAUGAUAAGAGAUAAAGCUACGUUUCCCAUAUGUUUACAAAAUUUUCCAGAAGAUAAAUCGACCUCAAAAAUGGCGUGCAAGACAGAUGACGUGUUUCCCAAGCCAAGAAGGAUUCUUUCCUAGUUUGUGUCAUUAAUUGUUUAUGAGUUUGUUUUAUUUAGGAGAAUUUAUCCCAUACCUUUUGGGGUUUUUCUAGUAUAAAUAAGGUGCCCUAAGCUCUCUCUACAAAGUCUGACAUCACCCCACAUCCAUACUAUCAUUCACCAUCUCCGCAAUUUGUGAAGAAAAGCUUAGGGACGUGCUUUGCCAUGGAUUCGUUUCUAUCUUUCUUUUAUUUUUAUUUCCAUAUGUAACGAAGUUAUUUUCUAAGGUUUAUGAUGAAGCCAUGAGAUGAAUAUUUGCGAAGUACUUUGUUAAUUAUUAUCCAAUUAUAUGCCAUGUUAUAUUCUUAAUCUUUGUGGGUAUAUUUUAUUCUAAGUUUGAAUUUCUAAUGACUGAUCACCUUUAGGAAUUUUUCAUUUAUAUAUUUAGAUAAAUCUAUGAGGAUGACCGAUCAAUUAGGUUUAUUGGAGCUAAGGUUAAGAAGAGUAGACAAACUAGUGAGAAUGACAAAUAUCAAGCUAGUCCUACUUGGUUGACAUGAUUCUUCUAUACUUAAUGGGUUUUUAUGUGUUUAAUUGUAUGCCUAACCAAUAGGAUAUAGUUAUCAUGUAAAGAUACAAGAGUUGAUGCCAGACCACGGAAUAAUUCGUACCUUAGAAAGAACAACUUUUGACAUUGGCAUGGUAAUUGGAUAGUAGUUGGCUCUAGGCAAAGUAAAUAGGAUUGUUGUUGGUGGAUUCAUAACCUUAGACUUCCAUUGUUUCUCAAUUUCUUCUUGUGUCGUGUGUGAUUUUAAUUAAUUGUCUUUUGUUUUUCUUGUUAAUUUUAGUCUUAAUCAAUUAAUCAAUUAUUAAAUUCAAUCUACCCUUUGUUUGUUUAAUUAAGUCUAGCGUGAUUAAUCGGUUAAGUUGUGUUAAAGCAAUCCCCGUGGGAUCGACCUCGUAUUUACAUAUAUUACUACAAUUGAUUCAUGUGCUUGCGAGUUUGAUUUGGUUUAGAUUAAUCUAUUAUUUAGGUUGGUUUAAAUACACAUCGAGUAUGAGCCAAAUAAAUCAGUCUCCCUACCAGUCUCUAAUAU
Molecule: RNA transcript, 1830 nt
Organism: Pyrus x bretschneideri (Chinese white pear)
Lineage: Eukaryota; Viridiplantae; Streptophyta; Magnoliopsida; Rosales; Rosaceae
Gene name: RNA-dependent RNA polymerase 6-like
Exons: 3
Source: RefSeq, a predicted model, not a curated record